RNAcentral lists this ribosomal RNA (1269 nucleotides) under Pantoea agglomerans. Its description in RNAcentral is "bacterial SSU rRNA". It matches the Rfam family "Bacterial small subunit ribosomal RNA", at positions 39 to 1301 of the family's 1533-position model. The record is from RNAcentral. Lineage: Bacteria; Pseudomonadati; Pseudomonadota; Gammaproteobacteria; Enterobacterales; Erwiniaceae.
UUAAUAUGCAUUACGCUGCUACAAUGCAGUCGAGCGGCAGCGGAAAGUAGCUUGCUACUUUGCCGGCGAGCGGCGGACGGGUGAGUAAUGUCUGGGAAACUGCCUGAUGGAGGGGGAUAACUACUGGAAACGGUAGCUAAUACCGCAUAACGUCGCAAGACCAAAGAGGGGGACCUUCGGGCCUCUUGCCAUCAGAUGUGCCCAGAUGGGAUUAGCUAGUAGGUGGGGUAACGGCUCACCUAGGCGACGAUCCCUAGCUGGUCUGAGAGGAUGACCAGCCACACUGGAACUGAGACACGGUCCAGACUCCUACGGGAGGCAGCAGUGGGGAAUAUUGCACAAUGGGCGCAAGCCUGAUGCAGCCAUGCCGCGUGUAUGAAGAAGGCCUUCGGGUUGUAAAGUACUUUCAGCGGGGAGGAAGGCGUUGAGGUUAAUAACCUCAGCGAUUGACGUUACCCGCAGAAGAAGCACCGGCUAACUCCGUGCCAGCAGCCGCGGUAAUACGGAGGGUGCAAGCGUUAAUCGGAAUUACUGGGCGUAAAGCGCACGCAGGCGGUCUGUCAAGUCGGAUGUGAAAUCCCCGGGCUCAACCUGGGAACUGCAUUCGAAACUGGCAGGCUAGAGUCUUGUAGAGGGGGGUAGAAUUCCAGGUGUAGCGGUGAAAUGCGUAGAGAUCUGGAGGAAUACCGGUGGCGAAGGCGGCCCCCUGGACAAAGACUGACGCUCAGGUGCGAAAGCGUGGGGAGCAAACAGGAUUAGAUACCCUGGUAGUCCACGCCGUAAACGAUGUCGACUUGGAGGUUGUGCCCUUGAGGCGUGGCUUCCGGAGCUAACGCGUUAAGUCGACCGCCUGGGGAGUACGGCCGCAAGGUUAAAACUCAAAUGAAUUGACGGGGGCCCGCACAAGCGGUGGAGCAUGUGGUUUAAUUCGAUGCAACGCGAAGAACCUUACCUACUCUUGACAUCCAGAGAACUUAGCAGAGAUGCUUUGGUGCCUUCGGGAACUCUGAGACAGGUGCUGCAUGGCUGUCGUCAGCUCGUGUUGUGAAAUGUUGGGUUUAGUCCCGCACGGCGCAACCCUUAUCCUUUGUUGCCAGCGUUCGCCGGGUACUCAAGGAGACUGCAGUGAUAAACCUGGAGGAAGGGUGGGGAUGACGUCAGUCAUUCUUGUCGUACAGUAGGGCUUACCCACGUGCUACAUUGUCCAUCAAGAGAAUCGACUCGCCGAAGCCAGCGAACCUCUAACGUGCGCUCGUAUAUCCGGGAUGA